Molecule: transfer RNA, 82 nt
Filed under: Gammaproteobacteria bacterium
Lineage: Bacteria; Pseudomonadati; Pseudomonadota; Gammaproteobacteria
Description: tRNA-Leu
Rfam family: tRNA
About the family: Transfer RNA (tRNA) molecules are approximately 80 nucleotides in length. Their secondary structure includes four short double-helical elements and three loops (D, anti-codon, and T loops).
Source: RNAcentral
GGUCGUGUGAUGGAAUUGGUAUACAUGAGGGUCUCAAAAACCCUUGUCGCAAGACAUGUCGGUUCGAGUCCGACCACGACUA